This 218-nucleotide long non-coding RNA is filed under the name Lathyrus oleraceus (garden pea). RNAcentral's name for it is "Pisum sativum (pea) long non-coding RNA (PSAT_LNC015296)". The record is from RNAcentral. Lineage: Eukaryota; Viridiplantae; Streptophyta; Magnoliopsida; Fabales; Fabaceae.
AUAAAACCCUACAAAAAACAUCCAAUUACCCAAUUGCAUUCCCACAUGCAUCACAUGCAUCAUUCCAUGCAUAAUUUUCCUGCCAAUUAGGAAGAUUCAUCAAACCCAAUCCCAUCAAUCAUCAGCAUACUCAUGCAUAACACUCCCACAAAGUGGGAAUUUCAUUAAAAAAAUGAUGAACAAAAUUCGUUGCAUUCCCAUGCGCAUCAUAAAUAUCC